UACGUAGGGGGCGAGCGUUAUCCGGAUUUACUGGGCGUAAAGCGCGUUAAGGCGGUUGGCAAAGUUGGUUGUGAAAUCUCAGGGCUCAACCCUGAAAUUGCGACCAAUACUGGUCGACUAGAGUGCAAGAGAGGAAGGUGGAAUUCCCGGUGUAGUAGUGAAAUGCGUAGAUAUCGGGAGGAACACCAGUGGCGAGGGCGGCUGCCUGGACCCUUGCCUGACGCUGAGGCGCGAAAGCAUGGGGAGCGAACAGG
Molecule: ribosomal RNA, 254 nt
Filed under: uncultured bacterium
Lineage: Bacteria
Description: partial 16S ribosomal RNA
Rfam family: Bacterial small subunit ribosomal RNA
Source: RNAcentral